Molecule: unclassified non-coding RNA, 2573 nt
Filed under: Hevea brasiliensis (rubber tree)
Lineage: Eukaryota; Viridiplantae; Streptophyta; Magnoliopsida; Malpighiales; Euphorbiaceae
Source: RNAcentral
UAAGCCUUAGCUGGAGCUAAACUGCCAAAGGUUCAGCAAAUACAAGUCAUGAUGUCAACUGGAUAAGAUACAAAUUGCAAAAGGUAAAGCUAAUUAAAGGUUACAUUAUAAAAGAAAUUUGUAUAAAUUCCAUUUACAGAGUAAACCCAGAAAAUAAAAAUCACAACCUUCAUAACUUGGUAGAAUGGCAACUAUAUAAUGUUGAAAUCAGUUGACACAAACAAAUAAAUAGACAGUCAAGCACAAUGCACAAUGAGCUAUAACUCAUAGAUUAGGCAUAAUUCAUCUUAACCAAAAGAGAAAAGGAAAACGGACAAGAAAAAUGAAAGAUAUAUAAAGUGAAGAACUUAUGCAGACGUCUAGGAACUCACACCCAUAUUAUGUCCAUAAUCAGAGAAAUUAUUCAGCCUAGAUGCAAAGCCAAUGCCAUUAAGUCCAACCAAAACACCAAAGCAUAUGUCACAAAUUGGGAAACAUCUUUUAACACAUUUUGUAUGCUUGUGGACAUGUAUUAAAUAUAUGUUAAAGAAGAAGAAGAGUAUUGAGACAAACUUUCAUUCUUUAAGAGAGAUCUGGAAAAAAAAAGGAUUGAAGGCAUAAGUUUUCAUUCUUUCAGUUAUUGCCUCUGAAUUUGAUGCAAAAAGUAAAGAUGUUAAUCUAAUGAAAUUACUAUAACCACUGACCAUUUAACGCUCAAAUUGUAUACCAAGUACUGGCUCAAAAUAAUUGUGUAUACUGUAUCAGUUGGUAACAAUAUACCUACCAACAAAUAGACUGGUAACACCAAUACUUAAUUUAUCAAACUCAUGGGAAUGCCUAACAUGGAUCAUUUUUCUUCAUUCAGCUCUUGUUAAGGUCAAACUUUCUAGUAGUUCUAGUCCCUAGUUUUUCUCCUUCUAAUCUUCUACAACAUCAAGUCACUCACUAGAAGAACCAGUAAACUAGGAACAAUAUUACCCUAUCGUAGGUAAAGCAUUCUCACUUGAUAUACCAGAAGAAGCCAAGAAAAUCAAACAUUAAUUAAUAAAUGGAUCACCUUGAUCGAGAACAACCUAUGUGAUCCAUUCAUGUAUGCUUUCUGAGAAUUCUUCUAUUGAACAAUAAAUUGUAUUCAGAAGAUGUUACUUUCACUUGAAACUAUUAGAAAAGGAAGUUUUCUUGUGGACCAAAGGAAUGAUAACAUCAGGUGAGAAUCACGUCUAUGGUGGUGAAAAACCUUGUAACAAUUGGCUGUGCACUGCAUACUUUAUAUCCCCCUUGAAAGAUACAGCAGGCUCCAUGGACAUAGGCAUUUUGCCAAGCCACACAUUUAUGUGUCGCUUCUCUUUUUCUCAAUCUUCUAUUUUUGUUUAAUUUCAUACAUGCCACGGCUUAAUUUUACACCACCAGCUAUCUUUCCAUUCAAUUAAAGGUUCAUACCAUAUCCCCACAAUCCCUCUUUGAGAACUGAAAGGAUAUGAAAGUAGAAAAAUCAUUGAUAUCAUCUGUCACUGAAAUGAUUAUUCCAAAGUCCUUCACUAGACUCCAAACAAAAACAAAUUAUUUGCCAAGGUUCCUUAUUUGUGUUACCAGGUCAAUUAACCUAUUAAAAUUGGUAACUGCAAACUAGAAUAGUCAUAGACAAAAUAAGCAAAUGAAGACCCAUGCAGCCCUAGUUUAAAUGCAAUUGUAUCCAUCAAAACUUUACUAGCAGUAGACCCCAACUUAAGCAAACAUCAUGUAGUCACACCCACAGCAAUUCAGAAUUUGCUUUGUUCUUCAACUUUUCAGAAGGAAAGAACGUGGGAAAACCCAGAGGACAAUGACAAACUAUGGUGACCACAAGGUAACAACCAAUAAUUUUAAGGAUAAAUUAACCACAAAAAGCGAAUAUUGUAAUUCAAGCAGAUAAAACUUAAGGGAGAACUUGUCAUCUUAAUGGCUCCGUAGCGUUUUUAUGGAAACAGCUUUCUUAACAAAUCCAAGUUUUAGACCAUUUGAAGCAAAAUGACUACUCAAAACUCAAUCUCAUCAACAUAACCCAGUUAUAGGAAACAGUUUCAAUAAUCAAACAACAGGCAGAUGAAAGUACAGGGCAGCAAAGUGCCAGCCUGCUGGGAUAUACAAACAAAUUUUAACAUGCCAGAGUUCUUAAUGUAGCAAGCUUCAAGUAUCUAAAUGCAAUCUAGAGUCGACUAUACUAUUAGUGUGAACAUAUCAUCAACCUUGACAAUGACCUUAAAGAUUUAAAUAGAUCUCUUUUUUUCCAGUAACAAAACUUGGAAAUAAACCAGCAUUUACCUCAACCUAACUUCGACAAUAUAAAAGUCCACAAACAUCAAACAACCUCAAAACCUAAAGAGACCCAGAACAGAAGAAGCCUAAUUACCGAAGGGGAAAAUAAUCCCAGACUACUAAACACCAAAAAUCAACAAAAAAAACAAGUACCCAGAUGCCAAAACCCCAGAAAAAACAUGCAUCGCUAAGCACCCAUAUGAGAGAAACAAGAAUACAAAGCCCAAAAGCAACUGAUCCAACUUUGCCCAGCUGGAAAAGACCAAGAAAUCAACCUGUAAGCAGCCUACAAAGAGUUA